AUUACCGCGGCUGCUGGAGUGGGGUUGUAGGACCAGGCGGCUCCCACUGCAUAGGGGGCGCGGAGUGAUCAAUCGGCGGUGUAGCGGAAGCACCUGGGAAGGUGCGGCGUAGAGGGUGAGACCCCCGUACGCGAAACGCUGCCGACUCUGUGGCCUGGCACCUGAGUACCAUGGGGCACGAGCAACCCCGUGGGAAUCUGGGAGGACCAUCUUCCAAGGCUAAGUACUACCUGAUGACCGAUAGUGAACGAGUACCGUGAGGGAAAGGUGAAAAGUACCCCGAAAGGGGGGUGAAAAGAUCCUGAAACCGUGUGUCUACGAACAGUAGGAGCGUCCUUCGGGGCGCGACUGCGUACCUUUUGCAUAAUGAGUCAGCGAGUUGUGCGUUGCAGCAAGGUUAAGCCGCAAGGUUUCCUGUCCAAGGACAAUCCGGGCAGGGUUAGUCGGCCCCUAAGGUGAAGCCGAACGGCGUAGCCGAUGGGAAGNGGGUCAAUAUUCCCGC
RNAcentral lists this ribosomal RNA (502 nucleotides) under uncultured Bacillota bacterium. RNAcentral describes it as "bacterial LSU rRNA". It matches the Rfam family "Bacterial large subunit ribosomal RNA", at positions 276 to 1442 of the family's 2925-position model. The record is from RNAcentral. Lineage: Bacteria; Bacillati; Bacillota.